AGUGAACGCUGGCGGUAGGCCUAACACAUGCAAGUCGAACGGCAGCACAGUAAGAGCUUGCUCUUACGGGUGGCGAGUGGCGGACGGGUGAGGAAUACAUCGGAAUCUACUUUUUCGUGGGGGAUAACGUAGGGAAACUUACGCUAAUACCGCAUACGACCUACGGGUGAAAGCAGGGGAUCUUCGGACCUUGCGCGAUUGAAUGAGCCGAUGUCGGAUUAGCUAGUUGGCGGGGUAAAGGCCCACCAAGGCGACGAUCCGUAGCUCGUCUGAGAGGAUGAUCAGCCACACUGGAACUGAGACACGGUCCAGACUCCUACGGGAGGCAGCAGUGGGGAAUAUUGGACAAUGGGCGCAAGCCUGAUCCAGCCAUCCCGCGUGGGUGAAGAAGGCCUUCGGGUUGUAAAGCCCUUUUGUUGGGAAAGAAAAGCAGCAGGUUAAUACCCCGCCGUUCUGACGGUACCCAAAGAAUAAGCACCGGCUAACUUCGUG
Molecule: ribosomal RNA, 492 nt
Filed under: uncultured bacterium
Lineage: Bacteria
Description: partial 16S ribosomal RNA
Rfam family: Bacterial small subunit ribosomal RNA
Source: RNAcentral